AGAAUUUGUGGGAAUUCAGAAUUUCUGAGCAAAACCAUUCAAAAUUAUUUCCUCCCUUUGUCACUUUUAAGAGCUGGUCUCAGCAUAAGGAAAUAGACUCCAGUGACAACUCAGUGGUCUUUGGGAAGGAAUGCUCUGGACGAUGAAAGUAGCUGCCAGGGGACUUUUCAAGUUAAAGGCAACAGAGCAGGAGAUGAUAAGCUUUCAGGGAAGGUCACUGUUGAUUUUACUCUUGAUGCCUUCUAUGCAAUGGCUGGCUUGA
RNAcentral lists this long non-coding RNA (262 nucleotides) under Vulpes vulpes (red fox). RNAcentral describes it as "lncRNA (ENSVVUG00000018603.1)". Lineage: Eukaryota; Metazoa; Chordata; Mammalia; Carnivora; Canidae. The record is from RNAcentral.